RNAcentral lists this ribosomal RNA (514 nucleotides) under uncultured bacterium. RNAcentral's name for it is "partial 16S ribosomal RNA". It matches the Rfam family "Bacterial small subunit ribosomal RNA", at positions 28 to 523 of the family's 1533-position model. The record is from RNAcentral.
GAUGAACGCUGGCGGCGUGCCUAAUACAUGCAAGUCGAACGCGAGAGGAGGGAGCUUGCUCCCUCUGAUCGAGUGGCGGACGGGUGAGUAACACGUAGGCAACCUGCCCAUCAGCCGGGGCUAACUGCGGGAAACCGUGGCUAAUACCGGAUAAUCCUCCCCGCCGCGGGGUGGGGAGUUGGACGACGGGUUCGGCUGUCGCUGAUGGAUGGGCCUGCGGGGCAUUAGCUGGUUGGCGGGGUAAGGGCCCACCAAGGCAACGAUGCGUAGCCGACCCGAGAGGGUGAUCGGCCAGACGGGGACUGAGACACGGCCCAGACUCCUACGGGAGGCAGCAGUAGGGAAUCUUCCGCAAGGGACGCAAGUCUGACGGAGCAACGCCGCGUGAGUGAAGAAGGGUUUCGGCUCGUAAAACUCUGUUGUUAAGGAAGAACGCCAGGUAGAGUAACUGCUACCUGUGUGACGGUACUUAACCAGAAAGCCACGGCUAACUACGUGCCAGCCGCCGCCGUAA